This 563-nucleotide ribosomal RNA is filed under the name Clostridium botulinum C/D. RNAcentral describes it as "partial 23S ribosomal RNA". It matches the Rfam family "Bacterial large subunit ribosomal RNA", at positions 797 to 1359 of the family's 2925-position model. Lineage: Bacteria; Bacillati; Bacillota; Clostridia; Eubacteriales; Clostridiaceae. The record is from RNAcentral.
CCAUGGGAUGAGCUGUGGAUAGCGGAGAAAUUCCAAUCGAACUCGGAGAUAGCUGGUUCUCCUCGAAAUAGCUUUAGGGCUAGCGUCGGGUAAUUGAGUAGUGGAGGUAGAGCACUGAAUGGGCUAGGGGCUGACAACAGUUACUGAACCCUAUCAAACUCCGAAUGCCAUAUACUUGUACCCCGGCAGUCAGACUACGAAUGAUAAGAUCCGUGGUCAAAAGGGAAACAGCCCAGACCAUCAGCUAAGGUCCCAAAGUGUAAGUUAAGUGGGAAAGGAUGUGGGAUUUCUAAGACAACUAGGAUGUUGGCUUAGAAGCAGCCACUCAUUUAAAGAGUGCGUAAUAGCUCACUAGUCGAGAGAUCCUGCGCCGAAGAUGUAACGGGGCUCAAACUUACCACCGAAGCUAUGGAUGUGUACUAUGUACACGUGGUAGAGGAGCUUUCUGUACAGGUUGAAGUCAUACCGUAAGGAGUGGUGGACAGUACAGAAGUGAGAAUGCUGGCAUAAGUAGCGAAAAACAAGUGAGAAUCUUGUUGACCGAAUAUCUAAGGUUUCCUGGG